Molecule: transfer RNA, 61 nt
Filed under: Rhyacophila nubila
Lineage: Eukaryota; Metazoa; Arthropoda; Insecta; Trichoptera; Rhyacophilidae
Description: tRNA-Cys
Source: RNAcentral
GAUUUUGUAGUCAAUUAUGAUAUUAAAUUGCAAAUUUAAAGGUAUAUUUAUAUUAAAAUCU